UACGUAGGUGGCCAGCGUUGUCCGGAACUAUUGGGCGUAAAGCGCGCGCAGGCGGUCCUGUAAGCCUGAUGUGAAAGCCCACGGCUCAACCGUGGAGGGUCAUUGGAAACUGGAGGAAUUGAGUGCAGAAGAGGAAAGUGGAAUUCCAUGUGUAGCGGUGAAAGGCGUAGAGAUGUGGAGGAACACCAGUGGCGAAGUCGACUUUCUGGUCUGUAACUGACGCUGAGGCGCGAAAGCGUGGGGAGCAAACAGG
RNAcentral lists this unclassified non-coding RNA (253 nucleotides) under uncultured Caryophanaceae bacterium. RNAcentral's name for it is "uncultured Planococcaceae bacterium contains 16S-23S intergenic spacer region". It matches the Rfam family "Bacterial small subunit ribosomal RNA", at positions 524 to 776 of the family's 1533-position model. The record is from RNAcentral. Lineage: Bacteria; Bacillati; Bacillota; Bacilli; Caryophanales; Caryophanaceae.